CAGCCUGCCCGGUGACAUAGUUUAACGGCCGCGGUACCCUAACCGUGCGAAGGUAGCAUAAUCACUUGUUCUUUAAAUGAGGACUUGUAUCAACGGCAUCACGAGGAUCAUACUGUCUCCCUCCCCCAAUCAGUGAAACUGAUCUCCCCGUGAAGAAGCGGGGAUUUUUACAUAAGACGAGAAGACCCCAUGGAGCUUUAAACCCGACGACACCCUCGCUUCAUCUACACCCAUACAUUAAUGAAGGCAUGUUCACUCGGUUUUAGGUUGGGGUGACCGCGGAGUACAAAAUAACCUCCACGAAGGAUGGGUUUUAUCCCUUAUCCAAGAGGCACACCUCUAAGAAUUAGUAAACUAACAUCUAUGAUCCGAUUUCUCGAUCAACGAACCAAGUUACCCUGGGGAUAACAGCGCAAUCCACUUCAAGAGCCCCUAUCGACAAGUGGGUUUACGACCUCAUGUUGGAUCAGGGUAUCCUAGUGGUGCAGCAGCUACUAAAGGUUCGUUUGUUCAACGAUUAAAACCCUA
RNAcentral lists this ribosomal RNA (528 nucleotides) under Boophis xerophilus. RNAcentral's name for it is "partial 16S ribosomal RNA". It matches the Rfam family "Bacterial large subunit ribosomal RNA", at positions 1854 to 2598 of the family's 2925-position model. The record is from RNAcentral. Lineage: Eukaryota; Metazoa; Chordata; Amphibia; Anura; Mantellidae.